RNAcentral lists this ribosomal RNA (381 nucleotides) under uncultured bacterium. RNAcentral describes it as "bacterial SSU rRNA". It matches the Rfam family "Bacterial small subunit ribosomal RNA", at positions 28 to 407 of the family's 1533-position model. The record is from RNAcentral.
GACGAACGCUGGCGGCGUGCUUAACACAUGCAAGUCGAGCGGUAAGGCCCUUUCGGGGGUACACGAGCGGCGAACGGGUGAGUAACACGUGGGUGACCUGCCCUUAGCUCUGGGAUAAGCCUGGGAAACUGGGUCUAAUACCGGAUAUGACUCCAUAACGCAUGUUGUGGGGUGGAAAGCCUUGUGCGGCUAGGGGAUGGGCCCGCGGCCUAUCAGCUUGUUGGUGGGGUGAUGGGCCACCAAGGCGACGACGGGUAGCCGGCCUGAGAGGGCGACCGGCCACACUGGGACGUGAGACACGGCCCACGACUCCUACGGGAGGCAGCAGUGGGGAAUCUUGCGCAAUGGGCGAAAGCCUGACGCAGCGACGCCGCGUGGGGA